Molecule: unclassified non-coding RNA, 1353 nt
Filed under: Hevea brasiliensis (rubber tree)
Lineage: Eukaryota; Viridiplantae; Streptophyta; Magnoliopsida; Malpighiales; Euphorbiaceae
Source: RNAcentral
CUUUAAUGAUCAAUGCUAAUUUUACUAAUCAGUACAGUCAAGAUGCAGAAUUUCUUUUUUACUGUACAACACUCCCAAGCACAGGCAAAAAGCAAUGAUGCCAUGACAGAUUCUACUCCCCAAAUCAUACAAGUGUAUUCAUGAAAAGAAAAUGGAAAAAUUAAUCAAUAAAAAAAAAGCCACAAGUACCCAUGUCAGCAAUGGUUUCUCCGGCCAGUCUCAGAUACUGCCUGCGGCAGUAGCAGCAUUAUUCGCUAGCCAGGGAAGGCCAAAAUUCAAAGAAAAGUGAUUUGAGAAGUGGUCUCCGGUGACUGGAUCAGUGAGUUCCUCCAAACCCGCAAAGAAAUCGUCACUUACGGCCAUAUCUGAGAACCCAUCAAAUUCAUCUUCUUCGUCGUCUUCCAUUGUGUCUUUCUCUUCUCUGCUUUCUGUGUUUGUACUUUGGGGUAGAAGCUCGUCAUCCAAGGAAGUUGCAGGUGAUGAGCAAGUGGGCUUGGCUGGCGGCGAGGGUUUGUCAGACUCACUGGCAGUGACGGUUUGUGCUGUGGGGGUCUUCUGGCGGGUGCUACCAGCGAGUGAGUUUCGGUGGGUAGGUGCAGGGUGGUUGUGCUCGCCUGUAUAGGUGACUAUGAACAUUCCCGGCUCGGAUCUGUUCCGCUCAACCUGUUUCCGGGCCAAACACCCCUUUGAGCUGCUACAUCUGUAAUAACUCCUCGGAUAUGGAGAGCCUUUGAUGGGUUUUUGCCCGUAUUUUCGCCAUGCCCACACAUCUGAAGAGAGAGACUCUGCUGGUACGUGGCAUAUUUUCUUUAGCUGGUUCUUCCUUCUUUUAGAUCGAGGAGUGUGAGAAUUUGCAGUGGAAGUGACUGAGGCAGUAUGAGAUUGCUUGGGCUGCUUUAUCUGCGUUUGUUCUUUAUUAGAAACGGCAUGAGAAAGGAUGAGGGCAGGUUGUGGAGAAAAAAUAGUCUGAUGAGAUUUGGGGAAAAAGGGCUUGUAAAGCUCAUGCAACUCUCCAAAAGCGUUUCUUGUUUCAAAGGCACCCGGAAGAGAGAAAAGAGGGCCAACUUGUUCACUCGCAAAAGAAGAAGACGAAGAAAAAGAAAAGCAAAAAUCUGCUCUGUUGAAGGAACUGGCGCAUUUAGCAGUGGUGGUGGUAGUAGUAGUUGAAGCAGUGGUGGAGGACGAGGAGGAGGACGUGCAACUUCUAACCACAGCUUGAAGAUCCCAGUCAUCGUCCAUGGCAAGGGUAGCAAGGAGAGACAAAGCUCUGUGAAUCAGUACCUUCCUUCUGCAACUAAUGUUGGAGAGGAGACAAAAGAAGGCGCUGACUUUUGAGAGAGAGAGAGAGACAAG